GUUUAUGUUCCUUUCUAUUUUCCUCAUUAGGAUUUAACUUCCACUUUUUAAGAGGAUGGCUUUUUACAUCUCACUGCUUCUUAUACAUAGUUAAGACAA
This is a long non-coding RNA of Gopherus evgoodei (Goodes thornscrub tortoise), 99 nucleotides long. RefSeq lists it as uncharacterized. The transcript is spliced from 3 exons. The record is from RefSeq and is a predicted model, not a curated record. Lineage: Eukaryota; Metazoa; Chordata; Testudines; Testudinidae.